GCGCAGCAGGCGAGAAAACUUCACAAUGUGCGAAAGCACGAUGAGGGAAUCCCAAGUGCUUGCACGUAAGUGUAAGCUGUUUCUCUGUCUAAAACGCAGAGAGAGUAAGGGCUGGGUAAGACGGGUGCCAGCCGCCGCGGUAAUACCUGCAGCUCGAGUGGUGACCGUUAUUAUUGGGCCUAAAACGUCCGUAGCCGGUUUAAUAAAUGCCUGGGUAAAUCGGACCGCUUAACGGUUCGAAUUCCGGGUAGACUGUUAAACUUGAGACCGGGAGAAGUUAGAGGUACUCCUGGGGUAGAGGUGAAAUUCUGUAAUCCUAGGGGGACCACCAGUGGCGAAGGCGUCUAAACUAGAACGGGUCCGACGGUGAGGGACGAAGCCCCUGGGGCGCAAACGGGAUUAGAUA
RNAcentral lists this ribosomal RNA (406 nucleotides) under uncultured microorganism. RNAcentral's name for it is "bacterial SSU rRNA". It matches the Rfam family "Archaeal small subunit ribosomal RNA", at positions 330 to 735 of the family's 1478-position model. The record is from RNAcentral.